This is a ribosomal RNA of 1326 nucleotides. The stretch from base 700 to 1326 matches the Rfam family "Eukaryotic large subunit ribosomal RNA", at positions 1 to 618 of the family's 3401-position model.
GGAUCAUUAUCGAAUUCUGAGGGGGGAGAGGAAACCUUGACUUCUCGAGGAACAACUGUCGCUGGCCCCUUGGGGCAUGUGCACGUCUUGCCUUGUCGUCGACCUUUCUCUCUCUCUCUCUCAUACCAUCCACACCUGUGCACCCGUCGUAGGUCUUCGAAAGAGGAACUAUGUCUUUCACGUCCCACAUCUAUCGUAUGUCUACAGAAUGUAAUAAAAUGGGCGAUGGCAUUAUACAACUUUCAGCAACGGAUCUCUUGGCUCUCGCAUCGAUGAAGAACGCAGCGAAUUGCGAUAAGUAAUGUGAAUUGCAGAUUUUCAGUGAAUCAUCGAAUCUUUGAACGCACCUUGCGCUCCUUGGUAUUCCGAGGAGCAUGCCUGUUUGAGUGUCAUCGAAUUCUCAACCAUGUCUUGAUUUGUUUCGAGACCAUGGCUUGGACUUGGGGGUUUGCUGGCGGCGAAAGGCCGUCGGCUCUCCUGAAAUGCAUUAGCAUAGGGUGGCGCAAGUCUAUUGACGUGCACGGCCUUCGACGUGAUAAUGAUCGUCGUGGCUGGAGCGUCAGAGAGACAUGCACGAAAAUCGUCCGUGCUUCUAAUCUGUGUCCGUGGCUAGCCUUUGGACCUCUUAGCUACUAGUCUGGUCGCAAGACUCGGCGAACGUCGAGGGGCUUUUCCGGGGGUUUGGUCCGUUUCGAAACUUGACCUCAAAUCAGGUAGGACUACCCGCUGAACUUAAGCAUAUCAAUAAGCGGAGGAAAAGAAACUAACGAGGAUUCCCUUAGUAACUGCGAGUGAACCGGGAAGAGCUCAAAUUUUGAAUCUGGCGGUCUUUCCGGCCGUCCGAGUUGUAAUCUAGAGAAGCGUCUUCCGCGCUGGACCGUGUAUAAGUCUCCUGGAAGGGAGCGUCAUAGAGGGUGACAAUCCCGUCUUUGACACGGACUACCAAGUGCUUAUGUGAUGCGCUCUCGACGAGUCGAGUUGUUUGGGAAUGCAGCUCAAAACGGGUGGUAAAUUCCAUCUAAAGCUAAAUACAGGCGAGAGACCGAUAGCGAACAAGUACCGUGAGGGAAAGAUGAAAAGAACUUUGGAAAGAGAGUUAAACAGUACGUGAAAUUGCUGAAAGGGAAACGCUUGAUGUCAGUCGCGUCCGCCGGGGAUCAACCUUGCCUUUCCGGCUCGGUGUACUUCCCGGUCGGACGGGUCAGCGUCAGUUUCGGUGCCGCCGUACAAGGGCGAGGGGAACGUGGCACUCUUCGGGGUGUGUUAUAGCCUUUCGUCGCAUGCGGCGGUCGGGACUGAGGAACUCAGCACGGCUUCGGUCUGUGC